Molecule: ribosomal RNA, 478 nt
Filed under: uncultured bacterium
Lineage: Bacteria
Description: partial 16S ribosomal RNA
Rfam family: Bacterial small subunit ribosomal RNA
Source: RNAcentral
GACGAACGCUGGCGGCGUGCUUAACACAUGCAAGUCGAACGGUAAGGCCCUUCGGGGUACACGAGUGGCGAACGGGUGAGUAACACGUGGGUGAUCUGCCCUGCACUUCGGGAUAAGCCUGGGAAACUGGGUCUAAUACCGGAUAGGACUCCGGACUGCAUGGUCUGGGGUGGAAAGCUUUUGCGGUGUGGGAUGGGCCCGCGGCCUAUCAGCUUGUUGGUGGGGUGAUGUCCUACCAAGGCGACGACGGGUAGCCGGCCUGAGAGGGUGACCGGCCACACUGGGACUGAGAUACGGCCCAGACUCCUACGGGAGGCAGCAGUGGGGGAUAUUGCACAAUGGGCGCAAGCCUGAUGCAGCGACGCCGCGUGAGGGAUGACGGCCUUCGGGUUGUAAACCUCUUUCAGCAUCGACGAAGCGAAAGUGACGGUACCUACAGAAGAAGGACCGGCCAACUACGUGCCAGCCGCCGCAGUAA